CCUACGGGAGGCAGCAGUGGGGAAUAUUGCGCAAUGGGCGAAAGCCUGACGCAGCGACGCCGCGUGAGGGAUGAAGGUCUUCGGAUCGUAAACCUCUGUCAGCAGGGAAGAACGGUCACUGUGCUAAUCAGCAGUGAAUUGACGGUACCUGCAAAGGAAGCACCGGCUAACUCCGUGCCAGCAGCCGCGGUAAUACGGAGGGUGCGAGCGUUAAUCGGAAUUACUGGGCGUAAAGCGCUCGUAGGCGGUAUGUCAAGUCAAGGGUGAAAUCCCCGCGCUCAACGUGGGAACUGCCUUUGAAACUGGCAAACUGGAGUGUGUGAGAGGAUAGUGGAAUUCCAGGUGUAGGGGUGAAAUGCGUAGAUAUCUGGAGGAACAUCAGUGGCGAAGGCGACUAUCUGGCACAUAACUGACGCUGAGGAGCGAAAGCGUGGGUAGCAAACAGGAUUAGAUACCCGGGUAGUC
This 465-nucleotide ribosomal RNA is filed under the name uncultured bacterium. RNAcentral describes it as "partial 16S ribosomal RNA". It matches the Rfam family "Bacterial small subunit ribosomal RNA", at positions 338 to 795 of the family's 1533-position model. The record is from RNAcentral.